GCGCGAAAACUUUACAAUGCGGGAAACCGUGAUAAGGGGACACCGAGUGCCAGCGUCAUACGCUGGCUGUCCAGGUGUGUAAAAUACACCUGUUAGCAAGGGCCGGGCAAGACCGGUGCCAGCCGCCGCGGUAACACCGGCGGCCCGAGUGGUGAUCGUGAUUAUUGGGUCUAAAGGGUCCGUAGCCGGUUUGGUCAGUCCUCCGGGAAAUCUGACAGCUCAACUGUUAGGCUUUCGGGGGAUACUGCCAGGCUUGGAACCGGGAGAGGUAAGAGGUACUACAGGGGUAGGAGUGAAAUCUUGUAAUCCCUGUGGGACCACCUGUGGCGAAGGCGUCUUACCAGAACGGGUUCGACGGUGAGGGACGAAAGCUGGGGGCACGAACCGG
RNAcentral lists this ribosomal RNA (388 nucleotides) under uncultured prokaryote. RNAcentral's name for it is "bacterial SSU rRNA". It matches the Rfam family "Archaeal small subunit ribosomal RNA", at positions 339 to 727 of the family's 1478-position model. RNAcentral also lists the same sequence under 1 other name. The record is from RNAcentral.